AGAGAGAGACAUGCGCGCAUAUCAAUAAGCGGAGGAAAAGAAACUAACAAGGAUUCCCUUAGUAACGGCGAGUGAAGCGGGAAGAGCUCAAAUUUGAAAUCUUCAAGGUUCUACCUUGACGAAUUGUAGUUUAUAGAAGUGUUUUCUGUUAGUGGAGUGGCAAAAGUUCUUUGGAAUAGGACAUCAUAGAGGGUGAGAAUCCCGUAUUUGGUCAUUCCUCCUAGCGUUGUGAUACACUUUCAACGAGUCGGAUUGUUUGGGAAUGCAGUCCAAAAUGGGUGGUAAAUUUCAUCUAAAGCUAAAUAUUGGCGAGAGACCGAUAGCGAACAAGUACCGUGAGGGAAAGAUGAAAAGAACUUUGAAAAGAGAGUUAAACAGUACGUGAAAUUGUCAAAAGGGAAGCGUUUGACACCAGUGUUGUUUUUCCGAAAAUCAAUUACGAAUGUUUUAGUUUUUGAGGAGUUAUGACUUCAUCGGCUUGCUCCUUUCUUUAUGAAACUUUCUUAAUGCACUUUUCGGUUAACAAGUCAACAUCAAUUUCUUUUGUUGUAAAAGGGUAUGAGGAAGGUGGCUUUCUUUUCGGAGAAAGUGUUUAUAGCCUUGUGCCUCUGCAAUCGGAGAGAUUGAGGUCUGCAGCGUAGAUCCUUCGGGGUUAGAUACGUUUGUGCUAAGUUAUAGCUUUUCAUAGACAACUUGUUGACUAUGUUUAGUCUUGUAGCUUACUCGCUGACGCUAUUUUACCUACGCUUAGGAUGUUGAUAGUCACAGCGUGUAC
Molecule: ribosomal RNA, 775 nt
Filed under: uncultured Neocallimastigales
Lineage: Eukaryota; Fungi; Neocallimastigomycota; Neocallimastigomycetes; Neocallimastigales
Description: partial large subunit ribosomal RNA
Rfam family: Eukaryotic large subunit ribosomal RNA
Source: RNAcentral